AGGAUGAACGCUAGCGGCAGGCUUAAUACAUGCAAGUCGUGGGGCAGCGCAGGUAGCAAUACUGGGCGGCGACCGGCAAACGGGUGCGGAACACGUACACAACCUUCCUACAAGUGGGGAAUAGCCCAGAGAAAUUUGGAUUAAUACCCCGUAACAUAUAGAGAUGGCAUCAUCAUUAUAUUAUAGCUUCGGCGCUUGUUGAUGGGUGUGCGGCUGAUUAGAUAGUUGGCGGGUAACGCCACAAGUCUACGAUCAGUAGCUGAUGUGAGAGCAUGAUCAGCCACACGGCACUGAGACACGGG
RNAcentral lists this ribosomal RNA (302 nucleotides) under uncultured soil bacterium. RNAcentral describes it as "bacterial SSU rRNA". It matches the Rfam family "Bacterial small subunit ribosomal RNA", at positions 26 to 330 of the family's 1533-position model. The record is from RNAcentral.